AACUAACGCUGGCGGCGCGUCUUAAACAUGCAAGUCGAACGGAUGUAGCAAUACAUUAGUGGCGAACGGGUGAGUAACACGUAGGUAAUCUACCUCUGAGUCUGGAACAACCUGAUGAAAAUCAGGCUAAUACUGGAUAGUAUUAAUUUGGCGAAUGUCGGAUUAAUUAAAGCAUUUAUGCGCUGAGAGAUGAGCCUGCGGCUGAUUAGCUAGUUGGUAGGGUAAUGGCUUACCAAGGCGACGAUCAGUAGUUGGUCUGAGAGGACGGCCGAGCCACACUGGGACUCGAGACACGGCCCAGACUCCUACGGAGGCAGCAGUGGGGAAUUUUGGGACAAUGGGCGCAAGCCUGAUCCAGCAAUGCCGCGUGAGUGAAGAAGGCCUCGGUGUAAG
RNAcentral lists this ribosomal RNA (393 nucleotides) under uncultured bacterium. RNAcentral's name for it is "bacterial SSU rRNA". It matches the Rfam family "Bacterial small subunit ribosomal RNA", at positions 29 to 429 of the family's 1533-position model. The record is from RNAcentral.